Molecule: long non-coding RNA, 722 nt
Organism: Stylophora pistillata
Lineage: Eukaryota; Metazoa; Cnidaria; Anthozoa; Scleractinia; Pocilloporidae
Source: RefSeq, a predicted model, not a curated record
CCAGUUGUUCAUUGUUGGAAACAGAACUCCAUUAAGUUGUAUACAAGGAAGCAUUUGUAUGGGUGUAAUGACCAUGCUCCAAUCUAUCCUGCAGAACCAACUUGCAGUAUGAUGGAAGAGAUAGUGGUACUCUGUUCAUGGGAAUAUUUUCCAUAUCGUACGAUAUCAUCAGAGACUAUAAUUAUGUUUCACUUCCUAGAGGGAAAGUGAGGAGUUCUUAGUUGUUCAUACCAGGAUGCAUUUCUGUGCAAUUGGUGCACUUUUAUUGCCUAAUAACACAUCUCCUUAUAUCCAUACAAUGCACAGAGUGUUUUGUGGAGUGUGGCUAGUCCCUGUUGUUGAGAACGAAAAAGAUUGAAAGAAUCAACCAAACAAAGAGUGUUAGGAUUUUUAUGUCUAACCCGUACCCAGACCAGUUUACAACACCGAACACUUCACCCGUUUUGAAACAAAGUAAAAUUUACUGAUCGUGAUCCUCAUUACUGCGUGCAUAGUUUCAAAUAGGAUCGAGACACGACGUUCUAAACAGGAUACAGAAUAAAGAGAUAAUCAAGUUUGGUUUUUUUCGUCACAUCUCGACUCUUCACAGAGUAGUCGUGUACGGGGACUGUCAAAUAGCAUGGAUUGCAUAAUAUUGGUAUACGAUAACCAUAAUAAAAUAUUGGCAGAUCGUAGGGGAAAAGUGUGUUGAAGAAGGAGAAUAAAGAGAAAAGUUGAAUCAA